GAUGAACGCUGGCGGCGUGCCUAAUACAUGCAAGUCGAGCGAACGGACGAGAAGCUUGCUUCUCUGAUGUUAGCGGCGGACGGGUGAGUAACACGUGGAUAACCUUCCUAUAAGACUGGGAUAACUUCGGGAAACCGGAGCUAAUACCGGAUGAUAUUUUGAACCGCAUGGUUCAAAAGUGAAAGACGGUCUUGCUGUCACUUAUAGAUGGAUCCGCGCUGCAUUAGCUAGUUGGUAAGGUAACGGCUUACCAAGGCAACGAUGCAUAGCCGACCUGAGAGGGUGAUCGGCCACACUGGAACUGAGACACGGUCAAGACUCCUACGGGAGGCAGCAGUAGGGAAUCUUCCGCAAUGGGCGAAAGCCUGACGGAGCAACGCCGCGUGAGUGAUGAAGGUCUUCGGAUCGUAAAACUCUGUUAUUAGGGAAGAACAUAUGUGUAAGUAACUGUGCACAUCUUGACGGUACCUAAUCAGAAAGCCACGGCUAACUACGUG
RNAcentral lists this ribosomal RNA (497 nucleotides) under uncultured bacterium. RNAcentral describes it as "partial 16S ribosomal RNA". It matches the Rfam family "Bacterial small subunit ribosomal RNA", at positions 28 to 507 of the family's 1533-position model. The record is from RNAcentral.